GCCCCCGUAGCUCAGUCGGAUAGAGCAGCGGUUUCCUAAACCGCGUGUCGCACGUUCAAUUCGUGUCGGGGGCACCA
RNAcentral lists this transfer RNA (77 nucleotides) under Nitrospirales bacterium. RNAcentral describes it as "tRNA-Arg". It matches the Rfam family "tRNA". From Rfam's summary of the family: Transfer RNA (tRNA) molecules are approximately 80 nucleotides in length. Lineage: Bacteria; Pseudomonadati; Nitrospirota; Nitrospiria; Nitrospirales. RNAcentral also lists the same sequence under 1 other name. The record is from RNAcentral.